GGUGCACGUUAGGUGUGGGAGGAUUCGACCCCUUCCGUGCCGGAGCUAACGCGUUAAACGUGCCGCCUGGGAAGUACGGUCGCAAGAUUAAAACUCAAAGAAAUUGACGGGGGCCCGCACAAGCGGUGGAGUAUGUGGCUUAAUUCGAUGCGACGCGAAGAACCUUACCUGGCCUUGACAUGCAUCUCUAAACCGGUGAAAGCCGGGGAGUGUAGCAAUACACAAUUUGCACAGGUGCUGCAUGGCUGUCGUCAGCUCGUGUCGUGAGAUGUUGGGUAAAGUCCCGCAACGGAGCGCAACCCCUGUGAUCUGUGCCACCGGCGCAAGCCGAGCACUCUGAUCAGACUGCCCUGUGAAACGGGGAGAAGGUGGGGACGACGUCAAGUCAGUAUGGCCCUACGGGCCAGGGCUGCACACGUACUACAAUGCCCAGGACAGAAAGAACC
RNAcentral lists this ribosomal RNA (446 nucleotides) under uncultured Verrucomicrobium sp. Its description in RNAcentral is "bacterial SSU rRNA". It matches the Rfam family "Bacterial small subunit ribosomal RNA", at positions 808 to 1250 of the family's 1533-position model. The record is from RNAcentral. Lineage: Bacteria; Pseudomonadati; Verrucomicrobiota; Verrucomicrobiia; Verrucomicrobiales; Verrucomicrobiaceae.